RNAcentral lists this ribosomal RNA (243 nucleotides) under uncultured bacterium. Its description in RNAcentral is "partial 16S ribosomal RNA". It matches the Rfam family "Bacterial small subunit ribosomal RNA", at positions 529 to 772 of the family's 1533-position model. The record is from RNAcentral.
AGGUGGCAAGCGUUGUCCGGAUUUAUUGGGCGUAAAGCGAGCGCAGGCGGUUCAUUAAGUCUGAUGUAAAAGGCAGUGGCUCAACCAUGGUAAGCAUUGGAAACUGGUGAACUUGAGUGCAGUAGAGGAGAGUGGAAUUCCAUGUGUAGCGGUGAAAUGCGUAGAUAUAUGGAGGAACACCGGAGGCGAAAGCGGCUCUCUGGACUGUAACUGACGCUGAGGCUCGAAAGCGUGGGGAGCAAA